CCAAUAGCGUAUAUUAAAGUUGUUGCAGUUAAAAAGCUCGUAGUUGAAUUUCGGGAUCAAUAUAUCGGUAGUGCCAUUGGUACGUACUGGUAUCAUUGAUUUCUCCUUUCUGACGAACCAUGAUGUCAUUAAUUUGGUGUUAUGGGGAGUUAGGACUGUUACUUUGAAAAAAUUAGAGUGUUUAAAGCAGGCAUUAGCUUGAAUACAUUAGCAUGGAAUAAUGAAAUAGGACGUUUGACCCUAUUUUGUUGGUUUCUAGGAUCGACGUAAUGAUUAAUAGGGAUAGUUGGGGGCAUUAGUAUUCAAUUGUCAGAGGUGAAAUUCUUGGAUUUAUUGAAGACUAACUACUGCGAAAGCAUUUGCCAAGGAUGUUUUCAUUAAUCAAGAACGAAAGUUAGGGGAUCGAAGACGAUCAGAUACCGUCGUAGUCUUAACCAUAAACUAUGCCGACUAGGGAUCGGAUGAUGUUAAUUUUAUAAUGACUCAUUCGGCGCCUUACG
This 500-nucleotide ribosomal RNA is filed under the name uncultured Glomeromycotina. RNAcentral's name for it is "partial small subunit ribosomal RNA". It matches the Rfam family "Eukaryotic small subunit ribosomal RNA", at positions 591 to 1092 of the family's 1831-position model. The record is from RNAcentral. Lineage: Eukaryota; Fungi; Glomeromycota.